AGGGCACCACCAGGAGUGGAGCCUGCGGCUUAAUUUGACUCAACACGGGAAAACUCACCCGGCCCGGACACUGUAAGGAUUGACAGAUUGAUAGCUCUUUCUUAAUUCAGUGGAUGGUGGUGCAUGGCCGUUCUUAGUUGGUGGAUUGAUUUGUCUGCUUAAUUGCGAUAACGAACGAGACUCCACCUUACUAAAUAGACGGCGUAUCGAAACGUACGUCGAACUUCUUAGAGGGACAAGCGGCGUUUAGCCGCAUGAAACGGAGCAAUAACAGGUCUGUGAUGCCCUUAGAUGUCCGGGGCUGCACGCGCGCUACACUGAACGAAUCAGCGUGCGCGUUAGCCUGGUCCGGAAGGACUGGGUAACCCAAGUAAAUUCUUUCGUGCUUGGGAUAGGGAAUUGCAAUUAUUUCCCUUAAACGAGGAAUUCCCAGUAAAUGCGGGUCAUAAGCUCGCGUUGAUUACGUCCCUGCCCUUUGUACACACCGCCCGUCGCUACUACCGAUUGGAUGACUUAGUG
This 519-nucleotide ribosomal RNA is filed under the name uncultured eukaryote. RNAcentral describes it as "bacterial SSU rRNA". It matches the Rfam family "Eukaryotic small subunit ribosomal RNA", at positions 1161 to 1703 of the family's 1831-position model. The record is from RNAcentral.